Bradysia coprophila is the source of this 139-nucleotide long non-coding RNA. The record is from RefSeq and is a predicted model, not a curated record. NCBI's taxonomy places the organism in Eukaryota, Metazoa, Arthropoda, Insecta, Diptera, Sciaridae.
ACACCUUCAUGAUUCAAUUUGUAGAAGGAUGAACUCAAUACAUACCAAACUCCUUCUUUAUACAGUUUGCAGAAGGAUGAAUUAAUUUGUGUCAAACCAAACUCUUUCCUUACAGUUGUAGACGUAUGAAUUCAGUAGG